GAUGAACGCUGGCGGCGUGCCUAAUACAUGCAAGUCGAGCGAACGGACGAGAAGCUUGCUUCUCUGAUGUUAGCGGCGGACGGGUGAGUAACACGUGGAUAACCUACCUAUAAGACUGGGAUAACUUCGGGAAACCGGAGCUAAUACCGGAUGAUAUUUUGAACCGCAUGGUUCAAAAGUGAAAGACGGUCUUGCUGUCACUUAUAGAUGGAUCCACGCUGCAUUAGCUAGUUGGUAAGGUAACGGCUUACCAAGGCAACGAUGCAUAGCCGACCUGAGAGGGUGAUCGGCCACACUGGAACUGAGACACGGUCCAGACUCCUACGGGAGGCAGCAGUAGGGAAUCUUCCGCAAUGGGCGAAAGCCUGACGGAGCAACGCCGCGUGAGUGAUGAAGGUCUUCGGAUCGUAAGACUCUGUUAUUAGGGAAGAACAUAUGUGUAAGUAACUGUGCACAUCUUGACGGUACCUAAUCAGAAAGCCACGGCUAACUACGUG
Molecule: ribosomal RNA, 497 nt
Filed under: uncultured bacterium
Lineage: Bacteria
Description: partial 16S ribosomal RNA
Rfam family: Bacterial small subunit ribosomal RNA
Source: RNAcentral